Molecule: unclassified non-coding RNA, 431 nt
Filed under: Hevea brasiliensis (rubber tree)
Lineage: Eukaryota; Viridiplantae; Streptophyta; Magnoliopsida; Malpighiales; Euphorbiaceae
Source: RNAcentral
AAAGAUUUGCAUACUCAAAUCGGGUAAUCAAAAGUGAUGGCUCCUCAAUCCACUCAGAACAAUGAAAAUCAUUGGCGUCAACUAAUCGAAUCGAGUCGAUUAAUUCCCUCAUAGUGUGCUUUGAGACUGCACCUUCAGGUAAAUAUUUAUUCAAGAAAUUUUCAUCAGCUAAUUUUUUCCCAAUUUUUGUUCUUUCAUUAACCUCUAUCUCAAAAGCUCCAUUUUCAAAAAUGGGUAACUCUUCUUCUUCUCCCCUUCCUAUUACUUCUUCCAAUUUCUCUCCUCCUUUAGACAUCAAAAUUUUCUCCGGAUUCAUUCUUAUUACCCCUCCUUCACAAAUCGAACUCUGCAAUGUCUCACUGAAAAAACACCUAAACCACCCUCCUACUCCUCCUUCACCGAAAUAUCUGUUUUCACCGAAUUUCCGGUGA